GAUGAACGCUAGCGGGAGGCCUAACACAUGCAAGCCGAGCGGUAGGGUCUCUUCGGAGACUUGAGAGCGGCGCACGGGUGCGGAACACGUGUGCAACCUGCCUUUAUCUGGGGGAUAGCCUUUCGAAAGGAAGAUUAAUACCCCAUAAUAUACUGGAUGGCAUCAUCUGGUAUUGAAAACUCCGGUGGAUAGAGAUGGGCACGCGCAAGAUUAGAUAGUUGGUGAGGUAACGGCUCACCAAGUCAGCGAUCUUUAGGGGGCCUGAGAGGGUGAUCCCCCACACUGGUACUGAGACACGGACCAGACUGCUACGGGGGGCAGCAGUGAGGAAUAUUGGGCGAUGGGUGAGAGCCUGAUCCAGCCAUCCCGCGUGAAGGACGACGGCCCUAUGGGUUGUAAACUUCUUUUGUAUAGGGAUAAACCUAGAUACGUGUAUCUAGCUGAAGGUACUAUACGAAUAAGCACCGGCUAACUCCGUG
This 479-nucleotide ribosomal RNA is filed under the name uncultured bacterium. RNAcentral describes it as "partial 16S ribosomal RNA". It matches the Rfam family "Bacterial small subunit ribosomal RNA", at positions 28 to 507 of the family's 1533-position model. The record is from RNAcentral.